UUUCCGUAGGUGAACCUGCGGAAGGAUCAUUAACGCGCAAACUGUGAGGGGCAAGCGAGGUCUGUCGGUGACCCAAAAGACGUCCGCGCACGAGUGUGCCCUCUUGCAUCAUACUACAUCUCACCCUUUGUGCAUCACCGGGGGGGCACCCUUAGGGAUCAUCUCGGAGGGGGGGUCGCGGUUUCACACAAACCCCCCUUUUAAAAAUGUAGAAUGACCACAUUUAUGCAAUCAAUACAACUUUCAACAACGGAUCUCUUGGCUCUC
Molecule: unclassified non-coding RNA, 267 nt
Filed under: plant metagenome
Description: partial contains small subunit ribosomal RNA, internal transcribed spacer 1, and 5.8S ribosomal RNA
Source: RNAcentral